Molecule: transfer RNA, 69 nt
Filed under: Kusala populi
Lineage: Eukaryota; Metazoa; Arthropoda; Insecta; Hemiptera; Cicadellidae
Description: tRNA-Gln
Source: RNAcentral
UGUAAAAAAGUGUAUUGAUGCACAAGAAAUUUUGAUUUUCUUAGACAAGUUUAAAUCUUGAUUUUACAA